Molecule: ribosomal RNA, 1953 nt
Filed under: Triticum aestivum (bread wheat)
Lineage: Eukaryota; Viridiplantae; Streptophyta; Magnoliopsida; Poales; Poaceae
Description: partial small subunit ribosomal RNA
Source: RNAcentral
AUGGACCGCAAAACCAGUACAAGUCACAUCGACAUCCUGGAGAGGCUUCUGCUUGAUGAAAGUGCAGAGCCCACAGACCUGCCAUUGUCACUUCUGAGAGACAUAACAAAUGGUUUUUCUCUUGGUAACAAAAUUGGUACUGGCGGUUAUGCGGUGGUUUAUAAGGGAGUGGUCGGGAAAGGCAUGGUUGCCGUGAAGUUGUUAAACACGUUUGGUAUUCAUGAGAAUAAAUUCCAAGAAGAGGUUAAAUGCCUUAUAAAGGCCAAGCACAAGAAUAUAGUACGGUUUCUGGGGUAUUGCGCUGACACACAAGAUGCAACUUGUGGGCUUAAUUGGAGGGAGCGGUAUCGAAUAAUCAGGGGGGUCUGUGAUGGUUUACUUUUUCUCCACGAGAAGAGAAUUCUUCAUUUGGACCUGAAGCCCACUAAUAUAUUGCUAGAUGGUCACAUGGUACCCAAAAUUGCUGACUUUGGUUUGUCAAGAUGCCUCGGUGAAGAGCAAACCCGUUCUAUUACUCAAAAUCUAUGGGGAACACUGGGAUACAUGGAUCCAGAAUACAUCAGAUCAAGACAAAUCACGCACGCGUCGGACAUAUAUAGUCUUGGUGUUAUAAUAAUGGAGAUACUGACAGGCGUGAGGCAGUAUCUCAAAGAUGAACACGUAGUUCAAAGUUGGAUGAUUCGGUUGGAGGCAUCAGAGGGGGACAUGCAAUUGGAACAAGUAAGAGUAUGCUAUAAGAUAGCGAUAGAGUGCAUGGACUUGGACCCGAAGAAGAGAUCAGUUGCACGCCAUAUAGUUAGUAGGCUUGAUAAAAUGACAAGUGCAGAAUAUUUAGAUGAAACUAGCAUUGGCAGUUCAGUAUUUGAGCUGCAGAUAAGUUUACCAAGGGAACAAUCUGGAGAAAGAAUUGGAAAGCUUGCAGCAGAGAGCCUCCAGGUGGAUAUUGAGGAAGGUCAACAGAAACUAGACCAAUUACCAUUACAGGUAGUGCAAGCUCCAUUACAGGGAAUUGGCAAGCUCGCAUCCGAGAGCCUCCAGAAGGCAGAUGUGGAGGAACACUUGGAAAUACUGGUAGAUGUUCCACAAAAUCUUGGAAGGCUUCAUUACGAUGAAGACCAAAAGAGAGUAGGCCAGUUAUCAUUAUGGGGUGGACAAAAUACGACGGAAAAGGUCAACCGCCAUGGUGCAAGCAAUUCUAGCUCUACCUCUACUGGGUUCAACGAGUUGAACAUUUUGGGAAUUGACAACAAGAAAGCACACAUGAUUUUCAAUAGGAACAACAGGCGUACAUUAGAACAGUCGCAUUUUCUGAAUAUCUUGAGAAAGGAGGAGCUCAGGCCAAUACUAAGGAGUAGCAAUCUCAUUAGAGAAAGUGGGUCCACUAAAGUUUACAAAGGAGUUGUUGAUAAUACAAUGGUUGCAGUAAAGAAAACAUUUAAUGCUCAGAACAAGCAAUUAGAAAAGGAGGUUAUCAUCCACUCUCAAAUCAUCCACAAGAACAUUGCUUGUCUCAUAGGUUGUUGCCUAGAAAUGGAUAGCCCCAUUCGCGUUUAUGAGUUCCUCCCCAAAGGAAGCCUUCAUGGCAUUCUUCACAGCGGCAACAAGGUGCCUCUAAACUUGGAUGUGCGUCUAAAUAUUGUUGCAGAAUCAGCACAAGGUCUAGCUUAUCUGCAUUCACAAGCUCGUACCAAAAUCGUGCAUGGUGAUGUAAAACCGGCAAGUAUACUCUUGGAUGAAAAUUUUAUACCAAAUAUCUCAGGCUUUGGCACGUCGAGGUUGGUUGAGAGGGAUGGGCAACACACUAGACUCAUCAUCAGUGACAAGACUUAUAUGGAUCCAGUAUACCUGCAAACAGGGUUAUUGACCGAGAAAAGUGAUGUCUAUAGUUUUGGAAUUGUGGUCUUGGAGCUCAUUAGUAGGAAAAAGGCCACUCAUACUGAUGAUGACUGGUAG